RNA transcript from Glycine soja, 1734 nucleotides. It is a transcript of the gene named alpha-(1,4)-fucosyltransferase-like, with no coding region annotated. The transcript has 7 exons. The record is from RefSeq and is a predicted model, not a curated record. Lineage: Eukaryota; Viridiplantae; Streptophyta; Magnoliopsida; Fabales; Fabaceae.
CUUCCCCUCCUCCUCUUUCCCUCCCAUCACGCUCCCCAUCUCAACCAUGCCAUCCAAGGUGGAACCCUUCUCUAAUCUGGUCGCGGCCUUCAGGAAGUGGGACUCGCAAGUGGGGUGCGCUCGCUUCAAAGACAAACCCAAUGGGGUGCCCCUUAACCAGUCAAAGGUCGUGUCUUUACAGGAAGUUGGCGAUUGUGGGGGCUUGAAACUCAACCAUGUUAGCGUUUUGGUCAAAGGGUGGACUUGGAUUCCCGAUAACUUGGAUAACUUGUACUCUUGCUCUUGUGGCUUGAGCUGCUUGUGGACCAAAUCGCUCGUUCUUGCUGACAAGCCUGAUGCUUUGUUGUUUGAAUCUUCCAUGCCUCCUGUUCAGGAGGAAGUGGUAAUAUUACAACUACAACUAGUUAUGAUGUGAAAUAUAAUACAUUGGUGGCAGACUGAUUGUGGUGUACAAGGAGUCGUAGUCAGGGGAAGCUGGUGGUAGUAAUAAGUUAAGUUAUCCUUUUCAGCAUAUACCCAUAUCCUCCUAUGCCAUCAAAAGGGCAAGUUCAUUUCUCCAUUUAGUUCCAGUUUUUGAAUUUUGCUGAUUUUUAGCUUAUUUUAUUUUCAACUUCAAAAUAAGUAAUAAAUUUGCUUGUUCUAGUUAUGCUUAUAAAUUUCAAUGGUUUUUUAAGUUUUGUCUUUUGUUUGUUGCAAUCUUAUAUUGUAUACUUAGGAUCACAUUCUCAUGGCCCAAACCCUUCAGCAAGUGAUCUUGAGUCUGCAACAAAUUCCCAUUACAAAUUAUUAGGCUUACACUUGGGAAGGAUUGUACAUGAGAAAUGACCAAGAAUUUGAAUGACGAGGAGUUUGAUUUUGACCAAACAGGGAGCAAUAUUAUUAGUUGCGUUACCGGGUCUUCAGGAGAAGUAUGUUUAAUUAUUUGCAAUGGUUGAAACGAAGACAAGCAUGCAUGUUAGGUGCGCAAGAGGGUAUCCCUGUAUCUGUAUUUGGGGCUUAUGUUCAACAAUUAGAAACAAGUCGUGUGAAGCUCAUGCAAUUGGAGUUGGAGAUUGAGAAAGCAAGAAAGCAGGGUAUGUACAUACGCGGUGCUAGAUGUCAGUUAUAUGGGAUAAUCCGCAACAAUUAACCCAGUGCAAGUAGACUUGGAAGAGAACACCAUGAUGAUUUAGCACAACUUAUGCUAGGAAUGGGCUAUGCUACUGAAGAAGAUAUGCUUAAUAUUAUUAUUUCUUAUGAAAUUUAGUGAUUAUGAAGAGUCAUAAGUUUGUGUGUAACUAUUUUUCUAUGUUAAAUAAUAGAAGGAAAGAAGAACAAGAGAGACACAAUUAUACAAAAAAAAAGCAUUCUACAUCGGUUCUAGAAUUAUGUCUUAGAAUGAGUAUCAUUCUACAUUGGUUCUUGGAAGACCGUCGUAGAAUAGGAUACAUUUUACAUCGGUUCUAGGAUAACCGUCGUAGAAUGCGUACCAUUAUAAAACGGUUCUUCGCACGUGACCGUCUUAGAAUGGAUGUCAUUCUACGACGGUCUUUGCAAAACCGAUGUAGAAUAGUUGUACCAUUCUACGACGGUCUUUACAGAAUCGAUGUAGAAUAGUCUAUGUUUUUUACGACGCCGCCUAUGAUGACGGUUGUAAAUCGAUGUAGAAUGUCCUUAUUAACCGAUGUAGAAUGCAAUUUUUCUAGUAGUGAAAUAUUGUAAAUUAAUUAUUAGUAUGCUUAUAGAAAUGUUUCC